GACGAACGCUGGCGGCAUGCCUAAUACAUGCAAGUCGAGCGAACAGAUGAAGUGCUUGCACUUCUGACGUUAGCGGCGAACGGGUGAGUAACACGUAAGGAAUCUACCUAUAAGCGGGGGAUAACAUUCGGAAACGGGUGCUAAUACAGCAUAAUAUCUUCUUCCGCAUGGAAGAAGAUUGAAACACGGCUCUGCUGUCACUUCUCCAUGACCUUGCGGUGCAUUAGUUAGUUGGUGGGGUAAUGGCCUACCAAGACGAUGAUGCAUAGCCGACCUGAGAGGGUGAUCGGCCAGAUUGGGACUGAGACACGGCCCAAACUCCUACGGGAGGCAGCAGUAGGGAAUCUUCCGCAAUGGGCGAAAGCCUGACGGAGCAAUGCCGCGUGAGUGAAGAAGGCCUUCGGGUCGUAAAACUCUGUUAUAAGAGAAGAACAAAUUGUAGAGUAACUGCUACAGUCUUGACGGUAUCUUAUCAGAAAGCCACGGCUAACUACGUGCCAGCCGCCGCCGUAA
RNAcentral lists this ribosomal RNA (513 nucleotides) under uncultured bacterium. Its description in RNAcentral is "partial 16S ribosomal RNA". It matches the Rfam family "Bacterial small subunit ribosomal RNA", at positions 28 to 523 of the family's 1533-position model. The record is from RNAcentral.